CCUACGGGUGGCAGCAGUGAGGAAUAUUGGUCAAUGGGCGCGAGUCUGAACCAGCCAAGUAGCGUGAAGGAUGGCUGCCCUACGGGUUGUAAACUGCUUUUAUGAAGGGAUAAACUGAGUCACGUGUGCCUUUUUGUAUGUACUUUAUGAAUAAGGACCGGCUAACUCCGUGCCAGCAGCCGCGGUAAUACGGAGGGUCCGAGCGUUAUCCGGAUUUAUUGGGUUUAAAGGGAGCGUAGAUGGGUUGUUAAGUCAGUUGUGAAAUGUUGCGGCUCAACCGUAAAAUUGCAGUUGUUACUGGCAGUCUUGAGUACAGUUGAGGUAGGCGGAAUUCGUGGUGUAGCGGUGAAAUGCUUAGAUAUCACGAAGAACUCCGAUUGCGAAGGCAGCUUACUAAACUGCCACUGACAUUGAGGCUCGAAAGUGUGGGUAUCAAACAGGAUUAGAUACCCGAGUAGUC
RNAcentral lists this ribosomal RNA (460 nucleotides) under uncultured bacterium. RNAcentral describes it as "partial 16S ribosomal RNA". It matches the Rfam family "Bacterial small subunit ribosomal RNA", at positions 338 to 795 of the family's 1533-position model. The record is from RNAcentral.